ACAAGGGAAAAAAAAGGAAUAUAAGAAAGCAACUGUGAAUCUGAGGCUUCAUUUUGAGUUUUCCCCCAAAACAAAAAGGGGAAAACUAAAAGCCUGAUAGGUUACCUUUUUCUAACAAGGAACAACUGUCUCUACUUCGGGUUGCAUGCUUUCUCAAGUUUGAGUUUAGACAGACCACUCUUUUGUGAAUCUUUGCAUAAAGGGUCAUUGAAUAAUGGUCAGAGGCAUUGUCUUUGAAUGUUUUACAGAUAUGCUGAGGUUUGUACUUAGAACUUCUCAUUUUACAUUCAGCCUUUCAGUGAAAGGCGAACGUGAAGCUGACAUUUUAUAAUGGCAAAACUUAGGGGGCCAGAGCUAUAAGACAUGUUCAGAAGACAGGGAUAUGUGUCUUUUUUUCUCUUGUAUUGCUCAUGGUACCUAGCACAAAGUUGGAGAUGUGAUAGACUCUUUAAUACAGGUAUUCUUAUAUGGUUUACCAUGGCAAAAUCAACUUUCAAUUUUGUUUGGUUUUCAGAGUACUUUUCAUGAUAAAAAGGUUCAUUUGUUUUACUCUCAGAGCAUGCUCUGAGCUGAGAAUUAUAAACUAAAGGAGAAAAUAAUGAUGAGCAAAUAAUUGCCCAGGCUCCUAUGGAGAGUUCUCAGUAGAGCUGGAUUUGGUAACUUGAUGAGUUGUCACUGGCAAAUUUAGCAUUCACAUGUCAGACCUAGAAUAAUGCUAGAUGCUUAUCCCUCUCGUAUGGGAGCAGCCAGGAAGUCAGAAGAGGACCACAGACAGAGCGUUUGUUGGUGACAAGGGCUUUCAUAUCUUCAGAACUUGGCAAUAAGUAUUUUUAAAUAAUGGGAAGAAUGAAUUAUUUGAUUUCUGUGAAUUUAAAUUGCAAAAAUGAAAUAUGUGGGAGAAAACAGGUGCCUCCAUCUUUAACUGGAAUUGACAAAGCAGCAUUCACAAAGUGGCAACAAUUUCCUUUGACAUUUAUGAUUGCCCUAAUGCUGUUAAUCAGUGUGAGAUUAUUAUUUUUCCUUUCACAAAUGGAGAAACUGAGGUUCUGAGGGGUGAAGUGAGCUUACCCCAUUCCACAAAACUUGUAACUGCUGAUUCCCAGUUCUUUGUUCAUUUUAUUAGGCCAUGGAUGUUUCCUUAAAUAUAUUUCUCUGGGAAUAAAAUUCUCUUACAGAUCUUCUAGAAAUGGGGAUCUUGGCUUUCUGAAAUGAAAUUAUGUAUGGGCCAGAAGCCAGGAGAUGGAACGUGUGCUUUCUUACGUGUUUUCCUUCCAGCUUCCUUAGUCACGAUUCUUCAUUAUAACUUUGGUAUCUCUGAUAUUGAGUUAACUUUGACGAUGGUAUGGAUGAUGGUGGAUGGGUGGUACAUACAACUUUGAAGCACAUGAUGACUCUCUGGCCACCUACUUUAUUCUCGUAUUUCCCAAGAGGAGGUAAAUACUUCAUUUUAGAGAAACUGGACUCUAACCUAAAGUGGCCGAGAAGUCUAACCUGCAUUGUAAUCUUCAUCAAAUGAAAACACUUUGUUCUUAAAAGUACACUUGUUCCUUCUUCUUGCCCUUGACAAUUUUCUGUUUGAAGCAGCAAGGAACAGAGGAAAGAUAACAUAGUUUAUUCUAUGGAUUUCUACCAGUUCAAUUUUUAAAGUGUUAGCCUCUUAAAAUAAAUGUUUUCAUAAAAGAUCAUGAAGAAACUCGGAUUUUUGUCACUCCAUCAAUAUGUAGGAGGAGGGUAUGUCUGGGUAAGAGCCAAACAAUUAAGGUGUUACUGACCAGAAGUCUCUUGGUUUGCUGUCAUAAAAUGUCACAACUAUCAGCAACCACAAAAUCUUCAAUAAAUGGCACUGCAGACAGAAAUUUUUCUUAACAGUCUGGGUUUGUGAAUUCUCUUUUUUCCUUUCUGGUUUCCCUCUGUAGAUGUCUCUUUCUUCCUUUGUGCUUGGUCUCUCUGUUUCUCUUACUAACAACACACAUAUUUCUCCAUCUCUGUAUCAUCAUCUUCUAUUAGUUUUUCACAAGUGUAUUUCUGUGACUAAAAGGAUCAACAGAUGCUGACUUCAAUAUUGUGAAGCAUCCAGAAAAAGAACAAUUAAUUUAUAACAAACCUGCUUUGCUCUAACACUGACAGCUUUUGAAAAUGUAUACUGUAUGUGAGAUCCACAUCUCAUUUUGUUUUCAUUUAGAUGGUCAACAGCAUUUAACUCGAAGUUAGGUUUAAAUUCCCCCCAUGAGACUUGUCAGUUUUUGUCAGAAAUAAAACCAAUGAAUAUUUCCAUUUUAAAUAUUUAAAAGACCUUUUAAAUAAUGUGUUGAUAUUUUUGCUUGCAUUUUUGUUAUUAUCUUAACACUCUCUAUUGCUAUCUGCUUCAAUAUAGGAAAAAUGCAGUUACAAAUGUUUCCUGGUUAUAGUUAUUAAGAAUUAUCCCUAAUCUUAGGCUAGAUAUAUACAGAAGAUAAUCGUGUUCUAGAGUGUUCCUGCUGAAUAAAGUUGCCACUUAAUAAGAAACAGAUAUCAUGACUAGGUUGCCCUUGGAACUAACUGUCCAAGCGUGAACAAAUAUAUAUACUACAUCACACAUACACUCACAGUGCACAACACACUUAUACACUUCUCACAUACUCGCCUUUCUUUUACAACUUUCUGGCUCAGCAUGCCCAUGUCAUGAGCUAAUUCUGACCUAACAGAGAGGCUGUGCAGUCUUUCAGCUAGUGGAGGCUGAGAAAAUUGUGCAGCAAUAGGUCCAGUCCCUGGAAGAUGAAGUUAGUUAGCAUUUGGUGCCCAGCCAGCAGCAAUGUGACUUAGGCUUUUCGUCCUAGUAGGUAUGGAGUUCUGCUCUGAGCAACAAUUCAUUUAUUUUGUGCCAAUAUUCUGACUAGCUCAUUCUAGAAUCUUCUAUUUUGGUCAGAAUCUGUCCUAUAUUCUUGGCUGUGGUUCAAUUCUUUCAAUCAAAGAUCUGCCUAAUCCUGUUUUCCCAUAGCUAAUGUUGACAGGGUUCACCACGCCAUCUUCAUCUCCGCCCCCACUUCUCAUCUUCAGCCCAAACCAAUCUUCAUCUCUAUCUUCAUCUUUACUUCCAUCCACACAGCAAUCUUCAACUCCAUCUACCAAUACCAGUCUUAAGCUCCUGUGCCCCACCAUCCUCAGUCAUAGCAGUGCUCGAUGUGAUAACCUAAUCAAAAAUUUCAAACCAAACUGCCCAGCAUUCAUGGUUGUAAAGGACAUGUAGAAUCAGUCAACUGAUAGAUACAAAGUAACACUGAAACUGAUUGAGCAAUAAUCAGAAAGUUGGCGCUGCAAUAGCUUCCUCAGUUGUACCUCUCUGUCCACCGCCCAGCUCUUUCCUGUUGCUUCCAGUUCCUCUCACUUGUACUUCUUUAUUAACUAUUUGUUAACAUAACUUUCUAUGGUUUUCUUUCACCUAAGACCCAAACCUCUUCUCCUGGCUUGCAUUUCCACGACUCCCUGCCCAAGCCUGAGGUUGCACAAGAAACAUAUCUCUAAUUAAUGUCCCCUGUUCCAGGAAUUUGACUCAUUGGGCCUGCAAAAGAUUUUCGUGACAAAUGAAAUAUUUUUCUAAACCAAGGACUUGGGGAUAACUUCAGGGUCAAAGACAUCUUAUCAUAUUUAAGAACAGCCACAGGAUGUCUAGGAGCCAGCAGAGGGGCCAGAUAUGCUGCAGUUUAUGCUGUAAAAGGAAGCCUGCCGCCGUGAGUGGUCCAGUGGGAGCUCUUGCUUUGUGUCCUCAGCCUUUCACCUUUCCAUCUGAUGACUUGCUCUGAAUCUUCACUUCCUGGGCAGGUGAGCUGAGUCCUAGAAAGCACAGCUCACAGGAACUCUGCUUCAGAGUUGACAGAGAUUUAAUUUUCAGGACUAAAUUUCUCUGAGAGAAGGUUAGCAACACUCUGGCUUUGUCUUAAUAAGCUGUAGUUUGUGAUGCAAUUGCUGGAUAAGACAUGAACCAUAUUAGAACAGAAUGGCAAUAAAAAUCACCACAAAAUGAGAAGGAGAGUAACAAUUACAUUUUAUUAUGUGUGAAGUGCUCGGCACUUGUGUAUUUUACAUAUAUUUAAUCUUUAUAAUAACUAACAUAAUAAGUAUUUUGACUUCUUAUAGAUGAGGAAACAUGAUGUUCAGAAAGGUAUAUGACUUGAUCAAGAACCCACAACCAGGCAAUGAGAGGAAUAUGAGGCAAAAUCCAAUCUACUUGAUUCCACAGAGCUCUGAGUAUAGAUGAGGCAAACUUCACAUGGAAAAGAAGCCAUAUUUUGAAAAAACUACACGGAAUCAAAGAGAACUAACUCAAAGAAGCAAAAUUUUGGAGAUAAAACAAGGUAUCUGAUAGCAGUAGUGAUCUCAGGGUGGAUGACCCCCUACUGUUGCUCCUUCUUUUAAAUAAAACUCUUACUUGCAGGAGACAUACUGAAUGUAUUUGACCUUGGUGGCAGCUGGAAUUCAAAAAUCCUGGGUUGUGUUAGUUGACUAAGACAACAUUGUAGUACUGGUAGAGAAUUCUAAAAUCAGAAGAGCUUCAAUCUCUUCUAAUCUAAUUGACUAUGGAGAUUCAGGCAAGUUAUUCUGCCUCUGAGCCAGAUUUAAUUUCCUUAUCUAUAAUGUAAGGAGAAAAUCAAUAACUUUAAUAUUCUCUGAUUCAAAAUGUAAGCAAACAGAGGAAGGUGAUUGGCAACUUAGUUAAUUGGCAGGGUUAUUGGUAAAGAGUGAACACUGGGCAUUAUCCUUAAAGGUUAUGACAUUUGGAUAACCAUCUUGCAUCUUGGUCCAGUAGGCCAGCUACAGUAAUUGCUGUGGGUUAUGCUGAGUCUAGGACUGGAUUCCAAUUAAGCUGUGAUUUUUCACCAGUGCUAACUGUGGAAGGGCAGAUCCAUACAGAGCAUUCCUCAGCUAGGUAGUUUGAAUUAUUCCUAGACAGAUGCCUCCCAUUGAAGAGCACCUGGCAUUUUUACUAAGAGGAGAUCUAGCCAUUCUAGCAACUCUGAUUCACUCUCCUUUUGUUCAUCAUCUAUAUUUCUCCAUGGCUAUCCUUCCAAAGAGAAGCUAUUGCUAUAGUACACCUAACCAGAACAACUUUACCUCAAGGACACAGCUUUAUUAUCUGCUGAGGACCCUGAUCUAAUACUGUCAGGGUAGAGCCUGGUGUUCUGGGGAAAAUUUCAGGUUAUUAAAGCCAGUCCUAAUGGUUGGCUUAGAUAUGGCCUCUGUCUUGAUUUCCCUGCAUAGAACUUCUAUCUUUUAUUAAUUUGGUGCCAGUUGUAUAUUUUAAAGGGAGAGCUGUGGGUCUUGAUUUAAACCUGUAUAUACAUACAAGUACCUUGUUUUGUUAAACUACAUUGUCUUGCUCUUGUCAGUUUUAUCCUUAGAGGUCUGGACGUGCCCCAUCUCUGUACUUGAUUCUGCUGAGAAUACAGAGGUUGACAGUACCAUCAUGGCACACUACUCUGUGUGCACUGACCUAGGGCCUGGCACGCCUCAUAUAGAUACCUCCUAUCCCCUUUGUGCCUGCAUUUGUCUCAACCACAGGCCACAGUAGCUAACAUUCUCAGCUUUUGACCCACUAAUUUUUGGCUUUUGCCCAUCCCCAUUGACUCCCAUGUAGACCCUAUGUUCACCAGAAGGAUCCUCAUGUCUGCAGACUACAUUAAGAGGGAGGAUAUGCCUCUGUGAAUCCAACUGAUAGGUAUCUCCUGUGUGCCAGGGAAUGGCAGGGCCAUGGCUCUCUCAAAGCCAUGCUCAUAAAAAGCCUCCUCUGCAUCGACUUCCAGUCCCAUUUGAUUCUCAAGCAAGGAGUUCCAUCCGAGAAGGAAGCUGUCACCUGUCACUCUUUUAUGAAUUCUUAAGGACAGUGGAAGAGUUGAAAGGUUGGCAAUCACAAUGACAAUAGGCUAUUACAAGCAGGUGAAGAGCCUUCUUCUUUUGCUCCUUACCCCCAACUGCUGUUCAAAUAAUCAAAAAAGGGUCCUCAUUGAAACUGAUUUAAUUCUCAAGAGGAAUGAAAGACAUUUAAAGGGCAAGCCAACUUCAUAAAUGACAUUAAAAGGUUUUAAAAUAGUGUUUUGCUUCUAAAGGGUGUUUGUAAAUGUCAGAGGUAACAUAUUGAUUACAGUCCUGGCAGUUCUUGCUCAGGGCUUCUUAGCUGUCUUUGGCUUAACUCAUGCUGUUGACUUAUGCUCAUGGUAUGAAAUAUCUCAGCCAUCUUACUUUGUUUGCUUAAACUUUUCCAACCUACCAGACUUUAUCCACAUGUGAAUAAAAGGUACCAUCAAAUUAGUGGUGUUUAUAAUUUUUGUGCUUUUUAAUGUCUCGUGAAUUAUAUAAAGUUACGAAAAUGGCUAUAGGAAUUGGCCUACAAACUCUUGAGAUGUCCUAUAAGUUCCUACAAGAUAUUGAAAGUUGGUUGCUUUGAGGAUAUAAUUCUGAAUGUUGAAGCAAAUUAAAAAGCCAACUUGGAAGGGGAUACAUAAUCCUCUUUAAGUCAAGAUGAGGGGUAUAACCUCCCCCAUAUAUUCUGGGCCCAGUCGUCUGUGUUGAAAAGAACUCUGAUAGUUUAUUUGCUGAUACUAUUAAUGGGAGCCAAAAACAUUGUGGAGAAAGGUGAUAUUGUCAUCGUGAAUCUCUCUGAACUCCUGUUCCCAAUUUGUAGCCAGUAAGAGAGCAUGAUUGCUCUGACUACAGGAUUAUACUAAGUCUCUAAGGAAAUGAGAAUAGUGCACAUGUGUACUCUGAUUUAUAGUUUGCAAAGGCCAUUCAAUAAUUGGUAAAGCCGAAACCAAUGAAUUUCCUUCUGAUUUUCAGCACCAUUCAGAAUCUGGACAUAUAAUAUGUUUAUGGCAUUUAACCUAGUCAGACAGUAGAUAUUGCUCUAAGUCAUGGCCUACACCUGUGAGCCUACUUAUAUCAGCAUUUGCCAAAUGUACUUGUAGCUGUGGUACUGACCUCAGAGAACUUAGCCAAAGAGCAAAGACUGCCUAAUUCAAGAAGUACUGGCUGUACAGGAAGCAUAAUGCCAGCAUCUGUUUCUGGUGAGGCCUCAGGAAGCUUUUACUUAUGGUGGAAGGUGAAGGAGGAACAGGUGUCUCACAGGGCAAGAGGAGCAAGAGGGAGCAGGUGGGGAUUGGUGCCACACACUUGUAAACAUCCACAUUUUGUGAGAACUCACUAUCUCAAAAACAGCACCAAGCCAUGAGGAAUCCCUUCCUAUGACCCAAACACCUCCC
This 7229-nucleotide long non-coding RNA is filed under the name Homo sapiens (human). RNAcentral describes it as "HSALNT0311142". The record is from RNAcentral. Lineage: Eukaryota; Metazoa; Chordata; Mammalia; Primates; Hominidae.